AUUGAACGCUGGCGGUAUGCUUAAGACAUGCAAGUCGAACGGUAACAGACCUUCGGGUGCUGACGAGUGGCGGACGGGUGAGUAACACGUGGGAAUCUACCUUGUAGUGGGGGAUAAGCCAGGGAAACUUGGACUAAUACCGCAUACGCCCUAAGGGGGAAAGGAGCAAUUCGCUAUAAGAUGAGUCCGCGUCUGAUUAGCUAGUUGGUGAGGUAAAGGCUCACCAAGGCGACGAUCAGUAGCUGGUCUGAGAGGAUGGCCAGCCACAUUGGGACUGAGACACGGCCCAGACUCCUACGGGAGGCAGCAGUCGGGAAUAUUGGACAAUGGGGGCAACCCUGAUCCAGCAAUACCGCGUGUGUGAAGAAGGCCUGCGGGUUGUAAAGCACUUUUAGUAGGGAAGAUAAUGACGUUACCUACAGAAAAGACACCGGCUAACUCCGUGCCAGCAGCCGCGGUAAAGCACG
RNAcentral lists this ribosomal RNA (467 nucleotides) under uncultured bacterium. RNAcentral describes it as "bacterial SSU rRNA". It matches the Rfam family "Bacterial small subunit ribosomal RNA", at positions 30 to 527 of the family's 1533-position model. The record is from RNAcentral.